Molecule: microRNA, 22 nt
Filed under: Caenorhabditis briggsae
Lineage: Eukaryota; Metazoa; Nematoda; Chromadorea; Rhabditida; Rhabditidae
Description: Cbr-Mir-193-P1-v2_5p* (star (passenger))
Source: RNAcentral
CGAGAAUUUCGAGGCCUGAAUG